GACGAACGCUGGCGGCGUGCUUAACACAUGCAAGUCGAGCGGUAAGGCCCUUUCGGGGGUACGACGAGCGGCGAACGGGUGAGUAACACGUGGGUGACCUCGCCCUCAGCUCUGGGAUAAGCCUGGGAAACCGGGUCUAUACUGGAUAUGACUCCAUGACGCAUGUUGUGGGGUGGAAAGCCUUGUGCGGCUGAGGAUGGGCCCGCGGCCUAUCAGCUUGUUGGUGGGGUGAGGCCUACCAAGGCGACGACGGGUAGCCGGCCUGAGAGGG
Molecule: ribosomal RNA, 271 nt
Filed under: uncultured bacterium
Lineage: Bacteria
Description: partial 16S ribosomal RNA
Rfam family: Bacterial small subunit ribosomal RNA
Source: RNAcentral